RNAcentral lists this small RNA (133 nucleotides) under Klebsiella pneumoniae. RNAcentral's name for it is "RtT sRNA". It matches the Rfam family "RtT RNA". From Rfam's summary of the family: This family represents a bacterial cis-regulatory element known as RtT RNA. The exact function of RtT is unknown although it is thought that it may be involved in changing the cellular response in relation to amino acid starvation. Lineage: Bacteria; Pseudomonadati; Pseudomonadota; Gammaproteobacteria; Enterobacterales; Enterobacteriaceae. The record is from RNAcentral.
UGUUUGCACUUAGCGGCAAGGGUAAGAACCUUCGACUAUGGUUCGACUCGAGCGCCAGCGAGAGAACGUUGCCACAGGCAACGGCCCGAAGGGCGAGGAGAGAUAGCGACGAGUUAUCCUUCCCCCACCACCA